This 467-nucleotide ribosomal RNA is filed under the name uncultured bacterium. RNAcentral describes it as "partial 16S ribosomal RNA". It matches the Rfam family "Bacterial small subunit ribosomal RNA", at positions 29 to 507 of the family's 1533-position model. The record is from RNAcentral.
ACGAACGCUGGCGGCGUGCUUAACACAUGCAAGUCGAACGGAAAGGCCCUGCUUUUGUGGGGUGCUCGAGUGGCGAACGGGUGAGUAACACGUGAGUAACCUGCCCUUGACUUUGGGAUAACUUCAGGAAACUGGGGCUAAUACCGGAUAGGAGCUCCUGCUGCAUGGUGGGGGUUGGAAAGUUUCGGCGGUUGGGGAUGGACUCGCGGCUUAUCAGCUUGUUGGUGGGGUAGUGGCUUACCAAGGCUUUGACGGGUAGCCGGCCUGAGAGGGUGACCGGCCACAUUGGGACUGAGAUACGGCCCAGACUCCUACGGGAGGCAGCAGUGGGGAAUAUUGCACAAUGGGCGGAAGCCUGAUGCAGCAACGCCGCGUGCGGGAUGACGGCCUUCGGGUUGUAUACCGCUUUCGCCUGUGACGAAGCGUGAGUGACGGUAAUGGGUAAAGAAGCACCGGCUAACUACGUG